This is a long non-coding RNA of Corvus hawaiiensis (hawaiian crow), 679 nucleotides long. RefSeq lists it as uncharacterized. Lineage: Eukaryota; Metazoa; Chordata; Aves; Passeriformes; Corvidae. The record is from RefSeq and is a predicted model, not a curated record. The transcript has 3 exons.
UCAAGAGCCUUGUGCUGUGCCUGUCUUCUCCUCUAGCACAUUAUCCCAUGUUGCCUACUGCACCCAGGCACGAGACAAGCUGCAAGUUGCAAUGUGCAGUACACUGCACUAUGUGAUACGUGUCCUUUUGAGACACGCAAGCAGAAGGAUCAUGAAAACGAGUCUUUCCUUUUGGCUAUUUGAUUUUUUGCCACUUAAAGGACACCGGCAACAUUGAACUUAUGCUUGCAGACACAGUUCUACCCAUCUUAAGAAGAGACUUUGCAACAGUGCACUGAACUGAGUGACGGGUGUAGAAUUAAAAGACAGAAGAAUACGCGGUCUGCUGCUUGCGAUGGGGCAGAUCCUCUACAAGAACAACACUCUUCUUUGCUGGAGUACUGGCACUUUUCAGAGGGCAACAUUCACUGUAAUUACUAAAAUGUACCCACCUUUGUCCAAGUAAGAAAAGGCUGUUGUUGCAUGUAUAAUGUGGUUUUAGUUUUUAAUGCCAGAAAUGAAUCAGUAAACAUAGUUACAUUAUGGUAUGCUGUUUCUUAUUCUGUACCCAUAGUAACCAAAUUAAUCUCAAGGCACUGCUGGCAUUAAUUCAAUCUGAAGCUCAUACUUUGGAUUUCACAUUGGUGUCUUCAUCCUAUUCUUCUUCUCAACUAAUAAAAUGUUAAUAUAUGGCAAUAUA